This 2114-nucleotide long non-coding RNA is filed under the name Corvus moneduloides (New Caledonian crow). RNAcentral's name for it is "lncRNA (ENSCMUG00000017227.1)". Lineage: Eukaryota; Metazoa; Chordata; Aves; Passeriformes; Corvidae. The record is from RNAcentral.
CUUGGCUCCUCCCUCCGUGUUUCCCCAUUGGGUUGUGUACCCUGGCCCCGCCUAUGCUCCUCCCCUUGGUUCUUUCUCCAUCGGGCCCUGGCCCUCUCUCCGCCCCUUGUCACCCUCAUACCCUGGCCCCUCCUGUAUUCUUGGCCCUUCACCCCGGAGCCCUUCACGCGUUCGGCAAUAAACUCCCGUGGAACUCUGUGCGAAGGACCCCUCCCGCCUCUUUAUUCCUGCUGGUUCUUACUGGAUGAGAACAGUUAAUAACAGCUCUGAAUUCGUCAGCUUGUGGGACUUUAUGGGUAAGUAUGAUACUACAUUUUUACCUCUUUUAAUUCAUUGCAGUCAAUCAGUCUUAAAGAGUUCAGCUAUAGUGUGAACAUAGGGCAAGUGUAAAUCCCCAGUGAAUAGUGGAGGAUUUAAAAUAUGGGUCCAAAAUUUUACAUAAAAUUAAUAUCAAUUUGUAGAUCUUUUCUAGCAGUGAUAUUUUGGCCAUAGCCAAAUGUAUAAGUGAAAAAUAAAGAUUUUAAGCAUCAUUCUGAUUUAUCAGAUUCUGAAAAUGUGAACCGAUCUAUGAAGAAGCAAAUGCCCACAUUACCUGCUAUUCUCUCCCACAACAAUAUUGAUCUGUCCAGGACAGAGACAUACAACCAGAAUCAUCUGAGAAUUCAGGUCAUAAGAUCAACACAGCACAGCACAUAGGCACUUCUGGUUUGGUAAAAUUAAUAAACCUCUGCAUGUAUAAGUUAAUAGAAAUCAAAUCAGGUGUUUGAAAACCUGUAAGAAAAAGGACUUGCUGAACAGCUGUACACAAAUCAUUCCUCCAAAUCUGCAGACAAUACACAAAAUUACUUUCAAAAUUCCUCUGACAUUUUAUGUGCAAUUUAUUUAAGCUAGUUCUGAUUAAUGAUAUGUCAGACAUACGUUUUCGUUCAGCAGGCAGUGGAGGCUGAUGCUCCUCUCAUCAGGAGUUUUACCAGUUUGGUUCCUGUAUUUCAUUUGGAUUUAUGUUUUGCCAUUUGUAAGUGUACAGAAGUUAAUAGCCCCCAAGUGCAUCUGCCGGCUGGCAUUUAGAAAGUUCAUCAGAAGCACUUAAACUUUUUUAUCUCAGAUGGGAUGGUACAACAUUCCCAAGGAUUUACAAGAGCCAUUUAUCAAAGACGGCACCUGCUGCAACACAAAUAUCAGCCAAGGUCAAUUUUUGAUCUAGUACAGGGCCACGUCCAUUGAUUUUCUAACUUCUACUACCUUUCCACAGAAUCCUCUGAAAACAGAUUUUUGAUUUUCCUUCAUAAUGUUCAUAACCAUAGCUAAUGCACUUUUCCAGGAGCAUAACAGCGAAGAGGAUCAUUCACUUUCCACCUUCUUUACGAAUGAGCAGGAAGUUCUCUCAUCAAUGCCUGGGGAAGACAAUACUUAAUAACUUCCAUUUGUAUUAAUAGAAGUUGCCGGCAUGGAUCCCUGUGCAUUUUAUUGAGAGCAGGCUUCAAAUUGGACUCUAAAUGUUUUCAUUUAUUUUUAAUUGUGUAAGUAAACCAAUCUAAAAAUCCAGUGGAAGAUUUACUUCCUUUCUAAACUGUUUCUGAAUGAAAUGUUAUCCCCUUUCUAAGGGAAUAAAAAUUGAGUCAAUAUUGCUGUUGAGAAGCCAGGUACUUUCCAGUAAUAAAAACUAUGAAAGCACGCUUCAAUAAAAAAAUGAAAAAGAAUAAAAAAGAAAGGGAAAAUGUUGUUAUGAGUAUAGCAGAUUUUUGCUUUUAAAUUAGGAGAUGAAUUAUUAAAUAAGAGGUCCAUCCUUAAUUUGCAUUGUUUCACACUUCAAGUAUAAUCUGACCAUACAGAUUAAAAUAAUCUGAUAUGUUUUUCUGGCAAAGAUAAAAGUUUCUUGUCAACAGACAUGUUGCUACGCUGAUGACUGAAGUGUAUCACCUCAGUUAGGCCCUUCAAACUGUAUCUUCUUGAUGUCAUUGUCACACUCCUCAAUUGUUUUGAUUCAUUCAGUGUCCCGUGUUGUACAUCAGAAGAGGGCUGUCAACACUGUGAAAUGGCUGGGGUGAUACUGACAGCUUGUCAGGGAUCCUCAUUCUGUAGACACAAGAAGCAAGGAAAUUCAUUGAGUGGUG